Molecule: ribosomal RNA, 342 nt
Filed under: uncultured soil bacterium
Lineage: Bacteria
Description: bacterial SSU rRNA
Rfam family: Bacterial small subunit ribosomal RNA
Source: RNAcentral
AGAUUGAACGCUGGCGGCAGGCCUAACACAUGCAAGUCGAGCGGUAGAGAGGUGCUUGCACCUCUUGAGAGCGGCGGACGGGUGAGUAAUGCCUAGGAAUCUGCCUAGUGGUGGGGGAUAACGUUCGGAAACGGACGCUAAUACCGCAUACGUCCUACGGGAGAAAGCGGGGGACCUUCGGGCCUCGCGCCAUUAGAUGAGCCUAGGUCGGAUUAGCUAGUUGGUGAGGUAAUGGCUCACCAAGGCGACGAUCCGUAACUGGUCUGAGAGGAUGAUCAGUCACACUGGAACUGAGACACGGUCCAGACUCGUACGGGAGCAGCAGUGGGAAUAUGGACAAGU